AUAUUACGAGCAUCCUGAAACUAGGGCUUAUUUUCAGGUUAGGUUUAUUUUCAGGAAAAUGGUAUAUUUUUUCUGUUAUCGAUUGAUGUUAUGAUGAGAACACGACCAACAGGCUGCAAUUAAUUUAAGAGCUCUAUUCCUUUCGUCCCCAUAGAAAAAGGCCUGUUGAGAGCGCAGAAGAUAAGGGCCCAUUAUGUCCCAGGGCUUGGGCUUAUUGUGGUUUAUAGGUUGCCAGGGAAACACUCUCCGCUACCAUUCUCUCUCCCUCCCUGCCACGAGACCCUCACGCUGCUCUUUCAGCUGCCACUCCUUUGUUGCCACGGGCGCUGGAGCAGAAAGAGAAUGGAAGUGUUGUUUCUGAUUGGGCCUUGACGAGACUCGCUCAUUAGCAUAUGAGGACGGAGUCUGACAAGCAGAACGCCAGCCGAUUGGCUGAGACUGGAGGAAAUGGUGGGAUGGAGCCGAAAGUUGGGUGCCUGCCAAUGGUGUUGAAUGAGUUUGCGUCCUAACAAGCGAGUUGUUUCAGGCUCAAGUCUGGUGGAUAUCCUUCGGCUUUCACGAUUGGGGCGCCAGUUGUGGGUCUAAUCCGUCACUUUGUACAGACUCUUCAGGCAUUUCUUAAUUCCGCGGCAACACCGCCAUUGGCAUGACAAGCCUGCAUUCAGGAGGGCUGAGGCAUAUAUGAGUCAGCGCCCAUGCGAAGUAUCCGCCAUUCCAGCAUCCUUCAUUGGGCGAAGAAACGGCCAAGGGCGCUCGAAUCUUCUGGCGCGGGAAAUAAAACUUCCAGCCUUCUGUUUCUGUAAAAAAUAAAAAAUAAAUUCCCGCGACUCAGCUCUUUUGCUCUAUUUUAAGAUAAUUCCUUCUGACAGAUGCCAGAGCUUUCUGGUUCUGGCGUGUUUCCGCAGCGACUUGCACAGAAUGUGGGAUGCCGGUUUCAGUGAUCUGUUUAAUAUCCCCUCCCUGAGCCACGCUGGGUUGCCUCCUGGUGGGAGGGAGGGAGGUCGGCGGAGGCGACGAAUCUCGUCCUUUUACCACAAAGCUCCCUCAGGCUUUUCGUACUAACACACGCGUGGCUUUUCCCUUCGAGUUACGUAUACACAGAAGUCCUAAAGGAGAAGUUCAGCAACCUCAUAAUACCCAAUCCGUGUCUGCUUUGCUGAUCAACUCGUUUCACUGCCACCCGAGAGAUCGACUUUUUGCAAUCCUGAGGGGCUGGGCUCAAAACCCGAAGCGAAGCCACGCCAGCUCGUGCCUUCCUCGGGCUGGCUUCGACAACCUCCCACCGGCUGGCACCAAAGAGUGUAGUUGCCGGGUACCCGCACUGCCUGCCUGCCUGCCUCCCUCGUCCUGGUCACCCCUUCGGUGGGUGUUGGGAGAGAAGGCGGAGCCGCCUUCUGAGUCCCUCAUAGUAGGGACCGGUGUUACUUGUGGUCAUUCAAAGAGAGAGACGCCUUUUCAAAAAUUCCUCCUCCUCCUCCUCCUCCUCCUCCCCGCUUCUCUGCAAGGGGGUGGCCCUUGGAGACACCUUCUUUUAACUUACACACUAUAAAUACGGCUCCUAGUAUGGGAGCCGAGCUAGAGUCUGCGGCAGGACACGAGGAGGUUCGCCAAGGAAGCAGCGAGCCAAACCUCGAAGCCCCUGACACUCCUCCUCGCCGCACCGGCUGCCUCGUCGUCGUUCGGAGCCUGCCGCUGAGAAGAAAAGGAGAGGAAAAGCUGUGGGGAAUUACGCCUUAGCGCCCCUUCCCGGGGUGGUGGAGAUUAUUCAGAGUAGGAGAGGAAAGAGAGCCGGCUGGCUUGGUUGCCAUUCGUGCCGGCUUGACGCCUGAUUUCG
Molecule: non-coding RNA, 1834 nt
Organism: Pogona vitticeps (central bearded dragon)
Lineage: Eukaryota; Metazoa; Chordata; Lepidosauria; Squamata; Agamidae
Source: RefSeq, a predicted model, not a curated record